CAUUAGAUGACUGAAAGAAAGUAAUGGUCUCUUAAACCAGCUAAUAGUAAUUAACGCCUACUUCUAAUGA
RNAcentral lists this transfer RNA (70 nucleotides) under Cheilomenes sexmaculata. RNAcentral describes it as "tRNA-Lys". Lineage: Eukaryota; Metazoa; Arthropoda; Insecta; Coleoptera; Coccinellidae. The record is from RNAcentral.